GAUGAACGCUGGCGGCGUGCUUAACACAUGCAAGUCGAACGGAAAGGCCCAAGCUUGCUUGGGUACUCGAGUGGCGAACGGGUGAGUAACACGUGGGUGAUCUGCCCUGCACUUCGGGAUAAGCCUGGGAAACUGGGUCUAAUACCGGAUAGGACCACUUCUUGGAUGUUGUGGUGGAAAGUUUUUUCGGUGUGGGAUGAGCUCGCGGCCUAUCAGCUUGUUGGUGGGGUAAUGGCCUACCAAGGCGUCGACGGGUAGCCGGCCUGAGAGGGUGUACGGCCACAUUGGGACUGAGAUACGGCCCAGACGCCUACGGGAGGCAGCAGGGGGGAAUAUUGCACAAUGGGCGCAAGCCUGAUGCAGCGACGCCGCGUGGGGGAGGACGGCCUUCGGGUUGUAAACUCCUUUCGCUAGGGACGAAGCGUUUUGUGACGGUACCUGGAGAAGAAGCACCGGCUAACUACGUG
Molecule: ribosomal RNA, 467 nt
Filed under: uncultured bacterium
Lineage: Bacteria
Description: partial 16S ribosomal RNA
Rfam family: Bacterial small subunit ribosomal RNA
Source: RNAcentral